CGACAACUAUAACAACAGCAACGACAACGGUAACAACAGUAAUUACUACGAUAUUAACAGUAAAUACAACAACAGUAACUACUACAAUAACAAUGAUUACAGUGAUAAUAUCAACAGUUUAAAGCUAACGGACAGUAUAAAUUCGAAACACAUUAACCCAGUUGAAACAUUUUUUGAAUAUAAAAAUGACGAUUUCAGUGACUUAAAUAAUAAUAAAGAGUUGAUAGGAGACGAUCUAACAAACAUUAACGAAAUGGAUGAAAGUCUUAAUAAAAUAAUUUUAUCAAAUAGAGAUAACCAAGAAUUAAAAAAUUACAUGUCAUAUGAUAAACAUGAAACUGAGAUAAAAUUUAAUUAUUUAAUAAUAGAUGAAAAAAAAGAAAAAAAAAAUAUAAACACAGUAAAUAAUAUAGACGUAGUAAAUGAUAUAGACGUAGUAAAUAAUAAUAUAUUUAAUAAUGUUAAUUUUUGUAAUUUUGAAGAAGAAGAAGAAGAAGAAGAAGAAAACUUUAAUCCCAUAAAUAUAAAUAAUUAUAACAAUAAUUAUGACAAUGAACUUAACAUAAAUAAUAAUAACAACUGCUAUGAAAUAAUUAACGAUGAUGAUUCAGAUUAUAACGAUAGCAAUUUAUUUAUAGAUUCUACAAAUGACAUGAGUGAUGAAGUAGACAAUUCGAAUGGAUAUAUCACAUGCAAUUUUUAUGUACAUAAACCUAUAUAUAUAUUUGACGAACAAAAUAAACUAAAUAAUAUGAACAAAAUGGAUUUUAAAGAAGCUGAACAUAUUGAAUAUGGUGAAUAUCCUGAAUAUGGUGAAUAUCCUGAAUGUGGUAAAUAUCCUGAAUGUGGUAAAAAUAUUAUAUUUAAUUAUGAAAGGGGAGAAAAUAAUCAUAAUAAAUGUAACUAUGAAGUAAAAAAAAAAAAAAAAAAAAAAUGCAAUAUGAGAAAUAUAAAAAAAUUAAAAAAAGUAUAUAAUAACCUAAUUAAAAAAAUAAAUUAUGAUAAAAGUAUUAACAAAGUUUCUUAUAAAUUAUAUGACAAAAAUAAUAACUUUUUAACAGAAGACUAUAAAUGCAAAAAUAUAAAAAACAUUUGGGUCACAUUUACAAAAAAUAAUGUGAAUAAAAUAAAAAAUAUAAACAAUUUAAUUGGUACCAAUCACUAUCUUAUAAAUGUUAUAACAAACAAAAUUCAUACAUAUGAUAAAGAAGUCAGAGCAAUAAUAAAAAUGCAUAAGCGACAAAAAAUGUUUUUUAAAACACAUAAACAACAGCAAAUUACAAACAAAUAUAGCAAGUCGUUUCCUUGGGUGGGCGAAAAUUUGUUUGUAUGUUCUAAUAACGUUGACAAGUAUAUCAUGGCUGGAUACGCAUCGGUUUUACUGCAUCAAAAUUCAGUUUAUUUGAAAAAUUUCAACAAUUAUGCUAUGAAUAAACUUAUACCAUUAGAUUUAUUGAAUAUGAAAUCAAAGAUAAAUUUUGAAUAUACAAAUGUCAUGUUUGGAUUGUUACUAAAAGCUGUCAGCUCGUAUUUGAACUGCACAAUAAAUGAUUUACUUGCGGUUUCUAGAUGUAUUGAAAAUGUACUAAGAAUGUUUAUCUAGUAUAUGUAAUAAAAAAUUUGCACUAUACA
Molecule: long non-coding RNA, 1632 nt
Organism: Piliocolobus tephrosceles (Ugandan red Colobus)
Lineage: Eukaryota; Metazoa; Chordata; Mammalia; Primates; Cercopithecidae
Source: Ensembl